AGUUCCAAAAAUAAAUCCUCUUUUGCAACCCAGAACUCAUUGUUCAGUAUGAGUUUCUAUACAUAUAAAAACGAAUAUA
Molecule: small nucleolar RNA, 79 nt
Filed under: Nannospalax galili (Upper Galilee mountains blind mole rat)
Lineage: Eukaryota; Metazoa; Chordata; Mammalia; Rodentia; Spalacidae
Description: Small nucleolar RNA SNORA40 (ENSNGAG00000009118.1)
Rfam family: Small nucleolar RNA SNORA40
About the family: The snoRNA ACA 40 belongs to the H/ACA family of snoRNAs and guides the pseudouridylation of 28S rRNA subunit at position U4565.
Source: RNAcentral